Molecule: ribosomal RNA, 178 nt
Filed under: uncultured bacterium
Lineage: Bacteria
Description: partial 16S ribosomal RNA
Rfam family: Bacterial small subunit ribosomal RNA
Source: RNAcentral
GACUCCGUGAAGCUGGAUUCGCUAGUAAUCGCGCAUCAGCCAUGGCGCGGUGAAUACGUUCCCGGGCCUUGUACACACCGCCCGUCAAGCCAUGGAAGCCGGGGCGCUUGAAGUGCGUUGCCGCAAGGCGCGCCCUAGAGCGAAACCGGUGACUGGGGCUAAGUCGUAACAAGGUAGC